GUGGCCUGGGGCCUUCCUUUCCUGAACCUUACCUUCCAAAGGAAUUUUUGAAAAAUAGCCUGUGUGGUGUAGUAAAAAAUAAAAAGAUGACAGGGUUUAGACAAAAGCUGCAUUCCGUCGCCACCACUUCCCAGCUGGUUACUGGCUGAGCCAUACAAUCCCGGCUGCCAUCUUCUCCCUGGAGUAACUUGCAGAACACUUGUGCAUAUUCAUCAUAUGUAUAUUAUUUGUUGCAUAAAUUAACAUUACAAAGCCAUAUAUGUACUUUUCCCAUUACUAUAAACCCUAAAACUUACACUUAGAUGUUACUGUGCAGGGUAAAACCUCUUUCCAAUAAAGCCACAGAUAUUACACCUAAAAGUAUUUUAGAAGGAUUUUUCAGGAGAGGGGAAGUGUCAUUUUUUUAAAGAUUUAUUUAUUUUUAUUUAGAUGAGUACACUGUAGCUGUUUUCAGACACACACCAGAAGAGUACAUCGGACCCCAUUAUAGACGGUUGUGAGCCACCAUGUGGUUGCUGGGAAUUGAACUCAGGACCUCUGGAAGAGCAGUCAAUGCUCUUAACUGCUGAGCCAUCUCUCCAGUCUGUGUCAUCUUUUUUUAAUCUGACCUAGUCCCCCUCAACUCAGCACUUUCAGGAGUCUGAAUUCCAAGGCAGUCUAUGAGACUGUCAUAGGACAGCGGCCUGGAAAUCUGUGCCCUUGACAUGCCAUCCCAUACCCCCAUUCCAGGUGAUUGUGAUACACAUGUAAGUCUGAGAACCUCUGACUGAGGAUAGAUUAGUAGAAGGACCCUGAUGAGCAUUACUUACCUUGUAUGUCUCUUUACCUUUUGUAUCUGAAAGCACUGUUUUGAUAACAGGAUAACAGGUACCUCUGAAGGCAAAGAGAAAGCAGUGUGGCCAGGACUCACGGAUACUGUCCCAGUAGCUAUUUGUCUGGUCAUUUACUCUAGCUGAAUCCAUAUCUUAGGUUGUCUGCUUUUCAGGCUGGGGAGAGUGAUCACGUGUCUUCCUCAGGAACCAGGCUCUUCACACCUUGCUCGGAGUUCUUGGGACAAGGUUAAACCCAAAGCAGACAGGGACUGCCCUGGCCACAGGCAGUUUGAGAAAGUCAUUUCCUCUAGUCUAUCAACCCCCUUGAGAGCCUGUCUGCACACAGGUGCCAGGUUAUCUCAACCAAUUAAACCAAGUCAUCAAAGAGUAUGGCAAUCUCUAGCUUUGAAAGGACAGUCAAUAAGCAAUUGAGAAACAAAGUCCUAUAGAGUGCCCUUGGCCAACCUUGGUUAACCGUGGAUAAAAAUUCAGGACGGGGACUCUGGGGAUAAGGAGAUGAGGCAUUUAGGGAAAUCCAACAUUGUUAAAACUUUGUCAAGGUGGCCUACCCCAGGCCUUUUUAUUGCCUCCUCUCUAGGACUGAAAUAUUUCUUUCAAACAUAAUGUUUCAUUAGCUAACAUGUGCCAUGGAGAAACAAGUCUUAUAGAGUCCCCUGAACUGCUCUUAAAUUCCUGAUAGCAUUGGGAUUUUCUUCCAUGCCUCUGGAAGGGUGACAGGUCCAUUCUAAACAAUUGGGUGAGAGGGUGGGUGCCCCUCGACUCUGUCCAAGUGUGUGUGACAUCUAAAAAGCUCGGUAAGGAGUUCUCCAGGACAGAGAGCCAAGGCGCAUUGGGGUUAGUUUUGACAGCACCACUCGCUAAGAAGAACGUUGCGCAUAGCUGUUUUAACAGUUUACAUAAAUAUCUUUUAUGUAAAAGAGUAUUGAUAAUGGCUAAUAACUCCCAGAUAGCAUAUCUUCCAAUAUUAAAUUUUUUUUGUCUUUU
RNAcentral lists this long non-coding RNA (1817 nucleotides) under Mus musculus (house mouse). Its description in RNAcentral is "long non-coding RNA chr17:6784488-6786305". Lineage: Eukaryota; Metazoa; Chordata; Mammalia; Rodentia; Muridae. The record is from RNAcentral.